Molecule: non-coding RNA, 1309 nt
Organism: Vicugna pacos (alpaca)
Lineage: Eukaryota; Metazoa; Chordata; Mammalia; Artiodactyla; Camelidae
Source: RefSeq, a predicted model, not a curated record
UCAGGAGCAAGAGACUUAUGAAUGGUGCCAGCCAGGAGGUCCAGCCCCACGGGCCUGUCCAUGGGCUCUUGUCUAAAAUAUGUUUUUAAUUUUUCACUUGGUCUUGUAACUUUUGAAACAUCCCUCUGACAAUUCCUGAUUGAUUGGCUUAAAAAAACAGCACUCUUCCUUUAGGAAGAGGCAUAGUCCCCCCUCGUUGGCCGUGAGUAGGUCCAGGCCCCUCCUGUUUUGUAAGACCACCUUGGCUAGAGAGACAAUCUGAUUUUGCAGAGCUCCCAGGGUUUUUGUUAUUUGUUGGAGAUCCUGGCUGAACUCACCUGUAAGCUGAUAAUAGUAAUAAGGGGAUGAGGCUAUGCCACCAAUUCCUGUGCCCACCCCUGCUGUCAUUCUGAGCCCCACUAGUAAGGGGAGUGAGGGCAUUAGCGUCAAUAACAUCAGCCUUAUGAUUAUCUUAGACAUGAUGCUGCAGUGAUGGCAUUAGUUAUAACAAGGUAUAAAGUAGCUAUCGGGAUCCUAUGGCCUAUAUUUCAGUCAGGUGGGGUGGUGCUGGCCAGCCCCACUGCUAAUAUGCAGGCUAGUGUAGUAAACAAGGAAAGAGGCAAGGGAGCACAAAAGGAAUACAUUUAACAGUUCCAUUGAGCUAUUCUCAAGCUUCGGCCGAGCGUUGACUAGCCAGCUUCUGGGUGUGCCUAGAGCAGGGCUCGUCGAUCUUUUUCUGGUCCUUCUUGAUCUUGAGCUUGAUCUUGAGCGGGUCUCCUGGGACACUCUCAAUUUUUUAGGGACCCUCUGUCUGAGGUGUAGGCCCCAUCUGAAGGCUCUAGAGAAUAAGCCAUGGGCUAAACUGAUAAACAAGCUGUGAAGAAUGUCACGUAUCCAGGCUGGAUAAGAAAUGGCCUUCUUAAUGUAUCCAGUAUGGACGGCUGGAUAGCCAAUGACGGGUAAGAUCCUCAGAGGAGGACAACCUAAGACAGGCAGAGCUGCCUGGAAAAGAGAUGGCCUACUUAAUGAAGUUUCGUGAUGAACUUUCAAACAACCUGUCCUUGAUCAUGUAGCAUCCUGUGCUUACUGCAGGAGCUUGGGGACCUAAAUAGCUAAGAUUAUUAACAUUGUUAUACCUUAGAUGAUAUGUGAGGCAUCGUGCAUGUCCUAUAUAAACCCUUUUCUAAGAAACAAUAAACAGAGAACUGCUUCACUUCUCUCCGCACAGUGUUCGUGUGUACACGAUAUCGCGCCACCGACAUGAGGUGAAGUUGCUCUCUUAACCCUGGAGUGGUGGAUCCAAGGGAUGGGCAGAGCGGGUCAACAGGAA